Molecule: long non-coding RNA, 1990 nt
Organism: Culex pipiens pallens (northern house mosquito)
Lineage: Eukaryota; Metazoa; Arthropoda; Insecta; Diptera; Culicidae
Exons: 2
Source: RefSeq, a predicted model, not a curated record
UCCAUUUUUUCAGGGCAGAGACCUUUUAUUAAAAGGUAGUCGUAGGCCUAAGCUACUGACUACUCUUCAUCUCAGGGUCGGCAUUACUACUAAGCGAUUCAAGAGAGACUCGGAAAGGAAAUAAAAAUCAAGAACCACACUUUUCUUAUUUAAGACGUGUAUUUUUCUGUAUCGUGUAAAGUGUGUGUGUGUGUUUAGUGUAGCACUUUCAGGGACUAAACGUACCGUAACUCCAGCAGCAGCUUCCCGGGAUUGAACGCCUUCGGCGUUCUCCUCAGCGUUGGCCGGUCACAGGAGCGCCCUCGACUGUUCCGCCGGAAGUCCCGUGGGGGGGGGGGGUCGUCUUCGUUGCAGCCGAAUAACGGUUGACGGCUGUUGUUGCUGCUGCGCUGGAAACCGCGAGACAAGGUCGAGCGGGCGUUGCUGAUCCUUCUUGCGGCAGGCGUCUUCCCUCGUUGUCGUAAUCGGCGGACCUGGCUUCCACCAAUCCGGUCGCGCCGAGAGGGGGAAUCUCCUUUGCGUUUAUGGCGCCCCGCGCCAGAGAUUGUGGUGGUCGUUGACGGAAAACGUAGCCAAAGGCACUGCGCACUUACAGGGCUAGGUUGACCAAACCGCACGGCCGGGUUCCGGAAUGCGGGAGAAUGUAACUUCCGCAGGCACUUCCACCGGAAGGCAAGGCGUGACCAGCAAAAGGCGAUGCUGACACUCACGGAACCGCGACUUUACCGUACGGACGCCUGGUAAUAAAAGAGGCCGAUUCUUGUCGUCGACGGCUGAGGUAAACAUUCCCUUCUCAUUUUGGGUGGGAAAAUCCACCAUUUUCUUUCCCUCCCACUUUUCGUGCAGUCCUGACCUAGCGCUGUCAGGAUCUGCGUGUUUGCAGCGGUACGAAUAACCCUUCACUGCUUGUGUCGUGUAAUGUUGUAUGAACGGGAAAUAAAUUGAAAAGUGAAGGUUCGUUCAAGAACUGUAACCAACGGUUACACUAUCCACCACCCCGGCGAAAAAAAUGUGAAAGCACGACGAGGUUUCGCAUUUUUUUACAACAAUGCUUUGCAUCACCAUCGUCGGCAUCUACUAGAUUCGUGGGUGUGGACAAUUCAACCUACAAUUCUCAGGUACAUUACUGCUACAACGCGCGAGAUAAUGAACCUUCACAAAACAACUCAAAUAAUAAAUAAUACAAACAAAAACAUUCAAUAUUUACAAAAUUUACACCAAAUUAAAAUAAAUAAGUUAACAUAAAUCAUGCAAAAACAAAUUAAAAUAAUUAUUAAAAAUCAUCCCGAAUUAUGGGUAGACAACUCUAUAGUUAUGUUGCGCAACAAAAUAAUUAUGUACAGAAUUUACAAGUUUGGAUCACUUUCGAUCUCCAAGGGGUGAUUCAACCUCAAGUGAAGCCCCUGCAGCAAACUGUCUCUGCAGUUGACAGAUGCCAAAACGUCCACACUGACACGUCGCCGAGCUGUCAGAGCAUAACGCAAUGUUUACAACUGAAAAAUCAGCUCGGUCGACGGAAUCAAGUGCGCGAUCGUUUUACGUCGUUUUCGGUGUGUUUUUGACGAUGUUUCGUCCGAUAUGUUCAGGUAAGUCGUAUAAGUUUUUGGACUAGUCCUACGAAGAGCAUCUUCGUUAAGUUUUUAUUUACUUUUCAGCUCACAGUGAGCCUGAAAAGUGGUGGUGUUUUGCUGCUAGGUUCUGAAUCUUCCCGAGGAAGAUCAGCCUGCACAAACCCACAAAUAAUCCCGGGAUGAACCGUGGUUGGCCAUCUUGACACAGCAAGAUGAGCACCAGGUGUUUAGUAACGACUAACCUUCUCCGCAGAUGCUCAUCGGGUCUUCGGGUCGAACCGACAGCGAGUUCCGAGGGAAACCAAUGUUAAACCCCUCACCAACUGCUGCGGUUAACCGACCCUCGGUCGACUUACAACGUUAGAGUUAGUCAGUGUUACUAAACUCUGUAAUUAACAUGAAUAAAGAUUCAUUUUAUU